UCUUCCGGUUCCUUCUGAUCUCAGCCAGAGAAGCGAGGGCAGCUGCACAGUAAGAGGAAGAGAAAACCAGGAGAAAACCUCGGAGUUUACCUGUGAAAAGGAAAAAAACUGUUUGAGCACUUACCCACUGGAGGUCCGGAGCCAAGUGACUGAACGAAGGCUAACCACUUGCCUUUCACCCAGAGAGCCGCGGCAAGGUCCGACAUCGGCGUGCUCCGCCUUGAUACACAGAGAGCAACGGUCAGGUUUUUUUUUGGAGGACUGAAGAGUCUGAGGUUCAGGACAAACUUCCUGCUGUAACAGAUGGCGAGCCAACCACCCUGAAGAAAGAUCAGCACCGAGAAGAUAUCCACGUACCCACUCAUUCACACACACAUCAUACAUUUACAUUACACUACAAAGACCUCUGGAAUCAGGUGAACUUGCAAUAAUCCUACAACAGGAAAACCUGCAACAACUCCUAUUUUACUUAAGGGUCCCAACGGACAUUUUUUGUUUCAAGUGUGCACACUGGGUUUUUUCUUAUUGUCUUACUGUUUGUAUUAUUAUUUUGUAUUCUGUACAAAUCAGACAAAUUGUUUUAUCUACUGUUAAAAAUUAUACGAGUGGCUACUCAACUGUUACCCCUGCGAUUGCCUCAUUAUUGUUGCUCAGUACAGUGGCUCCUCCCGAAUUUAGUGUCUUCUGAUUCUGGUCCAGGUAUUAUAAAUAGUCCAAGUAAUUAUUACACUGUAAUUCACUUUUACAUCCCUGAAGUUGGUUACAUUUACUUUUCCACAAACUGCAGCGACUGUCUGAGAUGUGGUUUCCAUCCAUAAGAGCCUCAGAAGUCUCUUCUAACCGGCGUUCCCUUUCAAAAUAACGGCUCUUUCUUGUCUCCGGUUAGAAAGCUCUUCUUCAGAGCUGCUGCCUCGGCAUCAUGUUGUCUCUCAGAGGUUUCAUUCAGAAUUCAUUAUUACCUUAAACGUUACUUUCAAAGUGACUCUCACUCUCCUGUCUUAACACAUUUCUCUGGAGGUAUUUAUUAUUUGGAAGGCAAAAUGCAGCUGUUUCAAACGUACCUAGUGUUGUCUUUGCUCCGCUUGCACACAAAACCCUCUGACGUUAAUAUGCCGUCCUGCACACUGCGAUGAGUCAAUUAUCCUCCGUUUGUAUCAUUCUCCUCACACUUUUUGCACGUUUACACUUUUCCCACUCCCCCGUCGCCAUGACGACUGCAUCGGUUUGAAUAUUCAGUCAGAAGAGGCUGUCCUCAUUAGGUGUACAUGCUGUUUUAUCAAGUUUAGAUAGCAACAGAGAAACGCUCUUCAUGUGGAGGAACAACCCGGCUGAGUCUUAUUUAGCUUCCUGCAGCAGUCACACUUCCUCCCAAAAAACAUCUGAAGGGGGAAACACUGCAGUCAAUGCAAUGUCUUGAUUUAAUUCAGUGCAGAAAAACAAUGCAAACAAACUGAAAGAAGCCUCCUGGAUGAGAGGUGACACAAGUCCGGUUGCUUUUCACUGAAACUCUCAGGUUGACAGGAAGUUGACAGAAUCAAUGUGUAUGUUGGACACAAAUUAAGAACAACAGUAGAUGGAUUAUAGAAGGCUUUGCAUCGACUUAUUAUCUGUGUAAAAAUAUGUAUGAUCACACAAGCUGUCAGUUUAUAUAACAGCUACAACAUCACACAACUACACUUCUGUUCAAAAGUUUGGGGUCAUCCAGACAAUUCCAUGUUUUCCAUUAAAACUCACACUUUUAUUCAUGUGCUAACAUAACUGCACAAGGGUUUUCUAAUCAUCAAUUAGCCUUUCAACACCAUUAGCUAACACAAUGUAGCAUUAGAACACAGGAGUAAUAGUUGCUGGAUGGUUAGCUUAUCAUAUCUAAUCAUAUCUUAUUAUCUUGUAUCUUAGCUUAUCUUAGCUGAUCAUAUCAUAUCUUAGCUUGUUGUGGUUUAUCUCAUCAUAUCUUGUCGUAUCGUAUUUUAGCUUAGCUUAUCAUAUCUUGUCGUAUCGUAUUUUAGCUCAGCUUAUCGUAGCUUAGCUUAGGUUAUUAUAGCUUAUCUUAGCUUAUCCCAAUGGAUCGUAUCUUAGCUCAGUUUAUUGUAGCUUAUCUCAUCUUAGCUUAUAAUAUCUUACUGUAUCCUAUUUUAGCUUAACUUAACAUAGCUUAGCAUAGUUUAUUGUCUUAUCAUAUUUUAUCGCAUCAUAUCUUACAUCAUAUUUUAGCUUAGCUUAUUAUAUCUUAGCUUAGUUUAUUGUAGCUUAUCUCAGCUUAGCUUAUCAAAUCUUAACUUAUUGUAUCAUAUUUUAGCUUAGUUUAACAUAGCUUAGCAUAGCUUAUUGUAGUUUAUCUUUUAUCAUACCUUUUAUCGUAUUUUAGCUUAGCUUUUCGUACCUUUGCUUAGCUUAUCGUAGCUUAUCCUAUCUUAGCUUAUCACAUCUUAUCGAAUCCUAUCUUAGCUUAACUUAUCGUAGCAUAGCUUAGCUUAUUUUAUCUUACCUAUAUCUACUUUAAUAUUUAAAGUUCCCCUGAGGUUAUUCAACUUCCAUAAAAACUUGCUGUGUAUCAGAAUUACAUAUUUAGAAGCUGUUUUCAAUGGAGACAAUUCUGUCAUUACUAAAAUAUCUCAGACGUAACUCUAUAAUGUUACAGAUCUAUGAGGUCCCUGCCUCUUGACAUACAAACCCUCUCCAACUGCUGCAGCUUGAGCACAACAGCUCACCAAACACUGUAAAACUACACAACGCUACACAGUGGAUCAUUUUGGAGCAAUCCAGCCACAAAAGCUAUCAAACUGGAAAGUCAUUCUAAAUAAAAAUAGCUCUCCCUUCUCUGCAAGCUCACACUGGAUAUUUAAAUUUAAUCCUGAAAAAAAUCUAAUAAUUCAGGUGCAAUAUCUCAGGUUCAUGUGCAAUGGUACUUAUUACCUCAGUAUAAUUACCUGCAUUACUUUCCACUCCUGCACUCUAGCUUUAUUGUGGCUAUACUUAUUUUAUUUUUGUAAUAUAAUGUCUUAUUGCUUUUGUUUACUUUGAAAAUACUGAAUUUCUUGUGCCAUUUUGUUGAUUUUUUUUUUUAGCAAUAUCUGGCACAAGAAUUUCCUUCAGGAUUAAAAUAUUUUGAUCUUAUCUAAUCUUACCUUUACUUAUCAUAUCUUAUCAUAGCUUAGCUUAUCGUAUCUUAUUUUUACCUUUACUCAUAAUAUCAUAUCGUAGCUUAUCAUAUCUUAUCUUACUUUUACUGAUCAUGUCUAUCGUAUUGUGUCUUAGCUUAUCUUAUUGUAUUGCAUCAUGGCUUAGCUUAUUGUAGCUUAGCUUAGCUUUUUAUAUCUUAUUGGAUCAUAUUUUAGCUUAGCUUAUUGUAGCUUAUCUUAGCGUAGCCUGUCGUAUCUUAGCUUAGUUUGCUGUAGCUUAUCUUUUCUUAGCUUAUCGUACCUUAACUUAUGGUAUUGUAUUUUAGUUUAGCUUAUCGUAGCUUAGCUUAGGUUAUUGUAACUGUUGUAUCAUUUUGGAGCAAUCCUAUGGAAGCAAAUCAGACUCAUCAGAUUCUGAAUUUUAAAAGCUGCUGAAUUUCUUACCUUGAAUUUUUUUGCAUCAAAAUUACGUAUGUGAAUUUUUUAUGCCUGAAUUUAGCUCAUCAAAAUUCUAAAAACCAGUUAAAAAUUCAAUGUCUUCAAAAUUCGCCAUCAAAAAAAUUCAAUGUCUUCAAAAUUCGCCAUCAAAAAAAUUCGGUGUUCAAAAUUCACCAUCAAAAAAUUCAGUGUUCAAAAUUCGCCAUCAAAAAAAUUCAAUGUUCAAAAUUCGCCAUCAAAAAAGUCAAUGUUAAAAAAUUCGCUGUCAAAAAAUUCUGUUCACAUCUGGGGGACUCAGGCGUAAACAAUCCAUCCUGGCCAAAAUCGAACCAACGCCCAGCCAAUCACGUGGCGCUCCUCCGGUCAUGUGACGCAGACGGUUCACUUCACAAGACCGGGGUCAACCACGGCUACCAGCAUGAACAACGGCGCUUCAAUGCACAAUGAGGGACGUCUGCAGCGACUGAGAAAGAGUCUCACCACAUCCUGACAUGAGGAAAAAGACUUUUUUGAAGACUACAAUGAGGAAAACUAUCAGACAGCAGACGGCUGCAUUCAAGGUGAGCUCUGAACAUUUGAUCUGGAACAGGAAUUCAAUAACGGCAGCAUGAGCUUCAUUUCAGUCUGUAGCUGCUGAAUUCAUGGAUGAAUCAUCUGGCACUAGAGAGGAAGACCAUCAAACAUCCAUGUCAGCUGAUGGAGGUCCAAGAGUCUCAUCCAACAACCAACCUACAGUGAAGACCUUGAAUCUGAUUGGACGGCCUCCUAUUCAGCCACGUGUGAACAAAUGCCUCUAAGUUGAUUUGUUUUCUAAAAUAAAUCCAGUUUGUGUCCUAA
Amphiprion ocellaris (clown anemonefish) is the source of this 4394-nucleotide long non-coding RNA. RefSeq lists it as uncharacterized. The transcript is spliced from 4 exons. The record is from RefSeq and is a predicted model, not a curated record. Lineage: Eukaryota; Metazoa; Chordata; Actinopteri; Pomacentridae.